AGUGAACGCUGGCGGUAGGCCUAACACAUGCAAGUCGAACGGCAGCACAGUAAGAGCUUGCUCUUACGGGUGGCGCGUGGCGGACGGGUGAGGAAUACAUCGGAAUCUACUUUUUCGUGGGGGAUAACGUAGGGAAACUUACGCUAAUACCGCAUACGACCUACGGGUGAAAGCAGGGGAUCUUCGGACCUUUCGCGAUUGAAUGAGCCGAUGUCGGAUUCGCUAGUUGGCGGGGUAAAGGCCCACCAAGGCGACGAUCCGUAGCUGGUCUGAGAGGAUGAUCAGCCACACUGGAACUGAGACACGGUACAGACUCCUACGGGAGGCAGCAGUGGGGAAUAUUGGACAAUGGGCGCAAGCCUGAUCCAGCCAUACCGCGUGGGUGAAGAAGGCCUUCGGGUUGUAAAGCCCUUUUGUUGGGAAAGAAAAGCAGCAGGUUAAUACCCCGCUGUUCUGACGGUACCCAAAGAAUAAGCACCGGCUAACUUCGUG
Molecule: ribosomal RNA, 492 nt
Filed under: uncultured bacterium
Lineage: Bacteria
Description: partial 16S ribosomal RNA
Rfam family: Bacterial small subunit ribosomal RNA
Source: RNAcentral